GACGAACGCUGGCGGCGUGCUUAACACAUGCAAGUCGAACGGAAAGGCCCUGCUUUUGUGGGGUGCUCGAGUGGCGAACGGGUGAGUAACACGUGAGUAACCUUCCCUUGACUUUGGGAUAACUUCAGGAAACUGGGGCUAAUACCGGAUAGGAGCUCCUGCUGCAUGGUGGGGGUUGGAAAGUUUCGGCGGUUGGGGAUGGACUCGCGGCUUAUCAGCUUGUUGGUGGGGUAGUGACUUACCAAGGCUUUGACGGGUAGCCGGCCUGAGAGGGUGACCGGCCACAUUGGGACUGAGAUACGGCCCAGACUCCUACGGGAGGCAGCAGUGGGGAAUAUUGCACAAUGGGCGGAAGCCUGAUGCAGCAACGCCGCGUGCGGGAUGACGGCCUUCGGGUUGUAAACCGCUUUCGCCUGUGACGAAGCGUGAGUGACGGUAAUGGGUAAAGAAGCACCGGCUAACUACGUG
RNAcentral lists this ribosomal RNA (468 nucleotides) under uncultured bacterium. RNAcentral describes it as "partial 16S ribosomal RNA". It matches the Rfam family "Bacterial small subunit ribosomal RNA", at positions 28 to 507 of the family's 1533-position model. The record is from RNAcentral.